RNAcentral lists this ribosomal RNA (508 nucleotides) under Maoricrypta immersa. Its description in RNAcentral is "Crepidula immersa partial 16S ribosomal RNA". Lineage: Eukaryota; Metazoa; Mollusca; Gastropoda; Littorinimorpha; Calyptraeidae. The record is from RNAcentral.
AGAAUUUUAAUGGUCGAACAGACCAACCCUCGAAGACUUCUGCAUCUUCCGGAUAUUCUGGUCCAACAUCGAGGUCACAAACCUUUUUUUCGAUUGGAACUCUUAAAAAAGAUAAUGCUGUUAUCCCUACGGUAACUAAUUCCUUUAAUCAUAAAUUUUGGAUCAAAACUUGUUAGUGAUAAAUUUUUAAAGAAGCUUUAUUUGUUCCUUAGUCGCCCCAACUAAAAUGAUUUAAUAAACUAUUUUUUAUUAAAUAUUAAUUCUGAUUUAUUAGUUUUUUUAAAGCUCGAUAGGGUCUUCUUGUCUUUUAAUUACAUUCAGGCUUCUUCACAUGAAGAUAAAAUUCUAUAAAAUUAAUAGGAGACAGUUACACUCUUGUUAAACCAUUCAUACUAGUCCUCAAUUACAGAACAAAUUAUUAUGCUACCUUUGCACGGUCAGGAUACCGCGGCCGUUAAAACAUCUCACCGGGCAGGUCAGACUCCACAUAUAUAGUGUGCGAGGAGCC